AGCUGCAGUCGAGAUCUUUCGCAAUGGGCGCAAGCCUGACGAAGCGACGCCGUGUGAGCGAAGAAGGCCUUCGGGUUGUAAAGCUCUUUCGCUWGGGAACAAGAAAGAYGGGAUAAUACCUUGUCAAUUUGAUGGUACUUGGAGAAAGAAGCACCGGCUAACUC
This 164-nucleotide ribosomal RNA is filed under the name uncultured Chlamydiales bacterium. Its description in RNAcentral is "partial 16S ribosomal RNA". It matches the Rfam family "Bacterial small subunit ribosomal RNA", at positions 347 to 503 of the family's 1533-position model. The record is from RNAcentral. Lineage: Bacteria; Pseudomonadati; Chlamydiota; Chlamydiia; Chlamydiales.